CUAGCAACGGCUGCCCAACAAUCACUUGGCUGAAGAGAGUCGGUAGCAAACAUGCUGUGCUGCUUUUCCAGGCCUCAAGGCCGCAGCCUCAAGACCCCACACGGGAAAAGCACUUGGGAAUGGGUGAGAGGAUGGAUCACUGGGUCCAGACACUCCAGGCCACUCCAGGAACCACCCAGUCCUCAGGAGCAUCCCAGGGCAGGUCUCCCUGGACAGCCUCCUCAUCUAUAGGCCCUCUGUCCCGGAACCCAGAAGGGCCUGCAUUUCCUCCCCACUGGAGGGGAUGGAGGAAAGCUCCACAUCCUCUUCCCUUGACUCCUUGUUGGAGCGGCACACCCAGGUAUACACUGUCACAUAUCUUCUGAACCAGGUGGAGCAAGAUGAGCUCACUGAGGCAGAGGCCAAGGGAGCAGCUCCAGUCCAAGCUGAAGUCCCACCUGCAGAGCCUGUGCCAGCUCCACCUGCAGCUGCCUCCCCAGCUCUGGCACCACAGCCAGAGCGAGCACCAGGAAGCCCUUCUCCUCCAGCUGGACAGCUGGGGCAAAUGGUGGCUCCUCAGCAGGUGUCAGCUCCUGACCUCCCCUUGGGGCAAGCUCCUGCCCCACACUGGCCAUUCCCCUCCAUUAUUGUUGCUCUUGUUUUUUCCUUGACUUUUGCACUUAUUUGCUGGAUUUAUGUCAAUGAUAGAUUGAUUUUUAAAUAAAAGGUAAGAUUUUACUGUUGCUUAACAUGAUCGGCUUGGUGGCAUGAAGUACCUUCUCAGUGCGGUGAACCUGACACCUCUGUCGAGGUCCAGGGCAUUUUCCUCAGUGCUGCACCCAUGAGUGGUUCCUCCUCUGACACCUGCUGCUAGUCCCUGGCCACCACUCAUCUUAUGUCCCCGUAAUUUACCUAUUCUACAUUUUUCACAUCAGUUCAAUCAGAUUUCUCCGUGUCCACAUAAUCCUGG
RNAcentral lists this long non-coding RNA (949 nucleotides) under Heterocephalus glaber (naked mole-rat). RNAcentral describes it as "lncRNA (ENSHGLG00000039154.1)". Lineage: Eukaryota; Metazoa; Chordata; Mammalia; Rodentia; Bathyergidae. The record is from RNAcentral.